Molecule: ribosomal RNA, 826 nt
Filed under: uncultured bacterium
Lineage: Bacteria
Description: bacterial SSU rRNA
Rfam family: Bacterial small subunit ribosomal RNA
Source: RNAcentral
CCCUUAGAGUUUGAUCCUGGCUCAGGAUGAACGCUAGCGGCAGGCUUAAUACAUGCAAGUCGAGGGGCAGCAGGGUGUAGCAAUACAUCGCUGGCGACCGGCAAACGGGUGCGGAACACGUACGCAACCUUCCUUUAAGUGGAGAAUAGCCCAGGGAAACUUGGAUUAAUACUUCGUAACAUUAUGAAAUGGCAUCAUUUUAUAAUUAUAGUUCCGACGCUUAAAGAUGGGCGUGCGCCUGAUUAGGUAGUUGGCGGGGUAACGGCCCACCAAGCCUACGAUCAGUAACUGGUGUGAGAGCACGACCAGUCACACGGGCACUGAGACACGGGCCCGACUCCUACGGGAGGCAGCAGUAAGGAAUAUUGGUCAAUGGACGCAAGUCUGAACCAGCCAUGCCGCGUGGAGGAUGAAGGUCCUCUGGAUUGUAAACUUCUUUUAUCUGGGAAGAAAUCCAUAUUUUCUAAUGUGGUUGACGGUACCAGAUGAAUAAGCACCGGCUAACUCCGUGCCAGCAGCCGCGGUAAUACGGAGGGUGCAAGCGUUAUCCGGAUUCACUGGGUUUAAAGGGUGCGUAGGCGGGUUGGUAAGUCCGUGGUGAAAUCUCCAAGCUUAACUUGGAAACUGCCGUGGAUACUAUCAAUCUUGAAUAUCGUGGAGGUAAGCGGAAUAUGUCAUGUAGCGGUGAAAUGCUUAGAUAUGACAUAGAACACCAAUUGCGUAGCAGCUUACUACACGAUUAUUGACGCUGAGCACGAAAGCGUGGGGAGCAAACAGAUAGAUACCCUGGUAGUCACGCCCUAAACGAUGGAUACUCGACAUCAGC